Long non-coding RNA from Gallus gallus (chicken), 1911 nucleotides. The record is from Ensembl. Lineage: Eukaryota; Metazoa; Chordata; Aves; Galliformes; Phasianidae.
GAGAAUGGGUUGGUGCGUGUGCGUUGCGCGGGUUGUUCAAACGUGGAGUGACUGUAAGCCAUCCAUUCACGUGUCGACGCAGCGAGGAGGCGGUGGCUCAGAGGAAGUGGAGAGGCUGAGGAGCAUCAGGGACUGCAGAUAAAUUGGUGGUGCCCAUCCCUACCAGCCCUGAGAUUUAGGCAGCCAGCUGAGGUGCCACAAGAAGUACGCCACCCCCUACUGCCUUGCAAACGGAUGAAUUUUAACGUCUGAGAAGUACAUGGACUGUAUGUGAAGGCAGGGAACCUGCUCUGCUGCUGUCAUCAUCGACCUCUGAUAUCACUUGGAGCAAGACAACCAACGAUAGCAGUGAUCUGACUCUGGAGUGGUAAGAAAGCUCCAGUGAGUUUGCUGAACCCCACGGAAUGUUUUUACCACGAUAAUCCAGUAUUUAUAAAGAAGAAACAGUCUUGUAUAUAAGGUCUUCACCCUUUGUAGCUAGUUUUGAGUAACUGCAAAUAUGAAUCUGCCCAGCUAUAAUAUUUUUACAAAUGGAGUGAAGGAGAAGGGGUGAGGAAAAAAUGGAGGAGGAAAAGCCAGUUAUCUCUUAAUGACUUUGGUGCUGGAAAUCAUUCAAAUUACUCUUCCACCUCGUAGAACAAGACCUGAAAAUGGUACUUGGAGCUAAAGACUUAGAUUGGAUUUACGGGGCUUAGCUGGUUGCCAGCAAACUGUCAUGGAGUGAAGUCUAAUUGCAUCCACAAAUGAUGUAUCCCAUCGAUGAGCACCAAGAAGACCCCAGUUCUUCACUCCCAGACUGAUGCCCGGCCUGACCUGCCACUGCAGAGCUAUUCCUGAGCUCAGAUUUACUGUGACUCGCUGUAGAGAACUAAGCCAAACCUGCUGUUUUAUUGGAAAAUCUCCAUUCAGACACAAAUUGAGUUCAAUAAUUGCUCAGCCAACUGUGUUUUUCUUGAACUUGCUACAUCUACUACUUAUAUAGAGUAUUUUAGGAGUUUCUCUCCAGUAGCUGUCUUGUUGGAAGACAAAGCACUGGUCUGUUUGGUAGAUCUUAAGAUAGAAUAAAGCAAGUGCCACCCUGCAGCUGGUUUAUUGGAGGACUUAUGUGGAGCUGAGAAAACACACUGGUACAGAUGUGUUCCUGUUUCUUAGAUUUCAAAACUUCCUAGUUUAAAUUCAUCUUCAAGCUCCACUUUGAUAUCUGCAGAACUUAAAGACAGUAAAAGAAGCACGAGCAUAUAGGACUGAUGCUGCCAGUCAUUUCUGUCUGAGAGCUCAAAUACAGCAGCAUAAGAGCAAGGUACAGUGGAUAAGGAAAGGAAAAUAACUGUUUAUCCCAAAGAUUCUCCUUUCUCUAUUUUAGUGCUUGUCAGCCUGACUAUGUGCCUCCACAAGUCCUGCUGGAGGGCAGCCCUGUUGGCUGGAGCCUUCCUCUACUGAGUGUGUGGGGCCCAUUAAGGAAGUGAAGGACAUCUUUUGAGAGAAGCUUCAUCUUUUUACAUGUUUAAUAUCAUUGCAGAUCUGAGAAGGACAACUGAAUUGGAAAUCUUGUUUCUAGUGCUUUUUUUUUUUUUACCAGUAAUUUUCUCCCCAUUCCUUUACUCUGAUUAAAUUAAUCUGUCAUCCAGAAUGUGGCAUGUUAUCACCUGUGACUUUAUCAAAUAUCAAGUGUGUAUGCAUUAUGGUUUGAAGAGUUCUUAGUGGAGCUGAAUUGUGGCUGUGUGGCUUUAGGCCCCCUCAGAAGAAAGGCUUUGUAUUCCAAGCUGGCACACAGCCUGCCUCAUACCGCAGAUCUGACAGAGUCUGCUUCAGUUUAAGGCAUUUGUAGGAGCAAUGGCUCUUGAAACACUUAAUUUUACCUUCUCUUUUGUUGAAGUUACGGUUAGUCUAAUGUAGAAUCUCAAUUUCAAC